UACGUAGGGUGCAAGCGUUAUCCGGAAUUAUUGGGCGUAAAGAGCUCGUAGGCGGUUUGUCACGUCUGCUGUGAAAACUGGAGGCUCAACCUCCAGCCUGCAGUGGGUACGGGCAGACUAGAGUGCGGUAGGGGGGAUUGGAAUUCCUGGUGUAGCGGUGGAAUGCGCAGAUAUCAGGAGGAACACCGAUGGCGAAGGCAGAUCUCUGGGCCGUAACUGACGCUGAGGAGCGAAAGCAUGGGGAGCGAACAGG
This 253-nucleotide ribosomal RNA is filed under the name uncultured bacterium. Its description in RNAcentral is "partial 16S ribosomal RNA". It matches the Rfam family "Bacterial small subunit ribosomal RNA", at positions 524 to 776 of the family's 1533-position model. The record is from RNAcentral.